Molecule: signal recognition particle RNA, 288 nt
Filed under: Erinaceus europaeus (western European hedgehog)
Lineage: Eukaryota; Metazoa; Chordata; Mammalia; Eulipotyphla; Erinaceidae
Description: Metazoan signal recognition particle RNA
Rfam family: Metazoan signal recognition particle RNA
About the family: The signal recognition particle (SRP) is a universally conserved ribonucleoprotein. It is involved in the co-translational targeting of proteins to membranes.
Source: Rfam by way of RNAcentral
GCCAGGCAUGGUGGCGAGCACCCGUAGUCCCAGCUACUUGGGAAGUGGAGGUUGGAGGAUGGCUUGGGCCCAGGAGUUCUGGGCUGCAGUGCAAUAUGCUGAUCGGGUGUCCGCACUAAGUUUGGCAUCAAGAUGGUGACCUCCUGGGAGCUGGGGAACCGCCAGGUUGCCUAAGGAGGGGUGAACUGGCCCAGGUCAGAAAUGGAACAGGUCAAAAUUCCCGUGCUGAUCAGUAGAAAUAAUAGUCAACCCACAUCUGUGACCCUGGGAGAAAUACUACGGUUUCCA